UAAUCGGAAUUACUGGGCGUAAAGCGCACGCAGGCGGUCUGUCAAGUCGGAUGUGAAAUCCCCGGGCUCAACCUGGGAACUGCAUUCGAAACUGGCAGGCUUGAGUCUUGUAGAGGGGGGUAGAAUUCCAGGUGUAGCGGUGAAAUGCGUAGAGAUCUGGAGGAAUACCGGUGGCGAAGGCGGCCCCCUGGACAAAGACUGACGCUCAGGUGCGAAAGCGUGGGGAGCAAACAGGAUUAGAUACCCUGGUAGUCCACGCCGUAAACGAUGUCUACUUGGAGGUUGUGCCCUUGAGGCGUGGCUUCCGGAGCUAACGCGUUAAGUAGACCGCCUGGGGAGUACGGCCGCAAGGUUAAAACUCAAAUGAAUUGACGGGGGCCCGCACAAGCGGUGGAGCAUGUGGUUUAAUUCGAUGCAACGCGAAGAACC
This 429-nucleotide ribosomal RNA is filed under the name Salmonella enterica. Its description in RNAcentral is "bacterial SSU rRNA". It matches the Rfam family "Bacterial small subunit ribosomal RNA", at positions 542 to 970 of the family's 1533-position model. The record is from RNAcentral. Lineage: Bacteria; Pseudomonadati; Pseudomonadota; Gammaproteobacteria; Enterobacterales; Enterobacteriaceae. RNAcentral also lists the same sequence under 3 other names.